GUUGCCUUCCAGUUUAAUGGGCCAAGUUAACAGAUCAGCUGUGUUAGCAUGGUCUCUCCUCUCUCUUCUGUUACAUUCAGGUUUUGCCAAGAGGACAGAAGUUGUUGGUGUCCAUUUCUGCACAAAGUUUAACGGUGUGAGAGUGACCUGCUCUGAUGGACCUGCUGUUCCAGGACACGCUACACUCCAGCGGGUUUCUUCCCUUCAGUUGAAUGCAAACAUACAGCAUGCAUGACUUGUGCCUCCUUAAGUGACUUGGCUUCAUGGCUUUCCUUCAUGAAAUGGUCUGCAUUGUACAGGUGCUUUUGAACCUUGUCUUAUCAGAGUCAAUGGAGGCAGCUCGGUUUACAUCCAGGGAAAGCAGAAACAUUGACUUUUUUCCUCUGUUUGCAAAGUUUUGGGAGCAGCAGUCCAUGGCAAGGGUUGGUGAAAAGCCACUAUAAAUUAAUAAUAGCAAUGCUAGCAUACUUUCUUGCAACGUAAAUGUGAAUCAUGGCCUGAACUUGUAUUUCACUUGUACAAGGAUGCUUGAAUCUUACUUUGUAAUAGAACAGCAACUUCUAACAUUAAGAAUAUGCUUUUUUUUUUUUUUUUUUUUUUUUUUUUUUCCACUUUUGAGGUCUGGGUUGUGGUGCAGAUUGCCCACACCAGCAUAGUGUGAAUGUGAUAGAUUUUUGUCAUGAGUUAUUAAUAGUGAGCACUGCUGCCUUAUUUUAAAUUGCUGAAUUGCAGAGCUGUGUGUUAUGGGCUUUGGAGUCUUUCUGCAGUAGGUGAAUGGAUUAUUGCUACCCAUGUCAUAACUAUCAUGUAACAACCUAAUGGUUAUAUGUUGUGUACACAGUCUGUUUUUCUUUUAUAUACAUCCUUUUGUUUGUCUUUAAGGCAGAACUUACAAGCAAUUAUCAUAGCUCUUUCUGAGGUGCCAGCUUCUGCACAAGGCCUGGUCUGCCUGCUUCAUCAAUUUUGGCUUGUCUUAAAAAGGCACCACUAAACCGGUGGACUUAAAUCAGUGCUAGAAUCUGUAUAGAUGCUGAGGAAACAUGGACAGUCAUGCUAUCCAUAGGGUGGGUAAAGUGAUGAAUACACUCUUCAGUAGGAAGCUAGCACACCUGCUGCCAGGUGUCAGAUUGGUGCAGUGCAGUGCAAAAUCAGCCCGUUUAUCUCCAGCCACAGCUGGCAUGGUUUAAGGUGAGCCUUGCUCCUACGUUGAAGUAAAUGAGGAGGACUCAAACUUUCUGGUUUGAUGGCUCUGAUGGAAGGGGACUAUCUUUCAUUCAGCUGAUGGCAUGAAGCAGCUUUUAGGGGAGUAAUGCCUUUAACAGCUUCAAAAAGCUGCUAAAAGGCGAAUUUAUAUUUUUAAGUUUUGUACCAUAAAAAUGUACAUAUAAAAUCUCAUAUACUCAAGGAAGCAGAUGCAGACCACAUAGGUCUAAGCCAGAUUAAAGCAAUGCACAACUGCCUAAAUAUUAAUGCACAGUAUUUCAAUAUAUCAUUUGUUAAGUCCAUGUAAGGCACAGAGAUCGGAAGAGAAGAAAGCACUCUACAUUACAAAAAUUACCAAGUUCUGCUUUCUAAAUCAACUGAGGUAUUAGAAAGAAUAAAUGUCAUGGAAAGUCAAUAAGGCUUGACUCC
RNAcentral lists this long non-coding RNA (1632 nucleotides) under Phasianus colchicus (ring-necked pheasant). Its description in RNAcentral is "lncRNA (ENSPCLG00000001727.1)". The record is from RNAcentral. Lineage: Eukaryota; Metazoa; Chordata; Aves; Galliformes; Phasianidae.